GCAUUGACCAACUGAUCAUAAGCUUCUCCCCAUGCAUUCUUCAUAGCCGGUGACCACAUUUCAGGUACUGCUUCUUUUAUGGUCUCCAAAAGUGCAAACUUUGUCACCUUUACAAAUUCAAAAUAUUAACAUGAAUCUAUGUCCUACCAAACCUUAUGUCAAAUUUCAAUGUAAAUUUGAUAUAACAAGACUAAAUAAUACAUUGACAGUAGUAAAACAAAAAUAUACUAACUGAAAAUUUACGUACCUCAAAAUGCUCGUCUACUACACCAUAUUUAAAAUGGUUAGCACCUAAUUUUUUCAAGCUUGAUUCUCUGACCGUAACUUUACCGGAUUUUCGCAAUUGAACUGCUGAUUCACAUGUCUACAAUAACAAAAUAAUUAGCUGGUUUUUUCUUAUAUAUUUAAAUGGUGAAUGGUGACAAUUGACAAAGUCAAAGCUUGAAUGGUAACGGAUGCGAAAUGACACUAAAAAAAUUUAGUGACCAAUAAAAAUGAAAUCCGUCUCUAAUGUAUUCAGUUCAAAAUAUAGUUAUAUAAUUAGAGACGGAUUUCAUGUUUUCUUUUACUAAAUUUCCUUUGCUAAGUUUCUAGUAACUUACCAUGAGAAAGACAGACAUGGCAUGUGGCUUGAGCUUGGUGUUUUUCUCCAAAGGAACUUUUGAAUCUUUCAAGAAUGAGAACAGUUUUUGAGCUGAUGGAGCAAUCUCAAAUAUUCUACAAUAUUGAAAGUAUAUUUAGUUCAAUUAUUCAAAUAAAAAAGAAUGAAAUAAAACCUCUUGAGUUAAAAAUGUUGAAGAAAAACCUAGCUACACUUACUUCAAGAAAAGCUUUAGUCCUAACUCAGCAGAAUUCUUCUUCAUUGCAUUCCAUGACUUCACCACAAGAGCUUCUUGUUCUUCAGUGAAACCUUUUGUAUCCAAAGUGCCCAUAUUCUGAAGGGUAAGGGUUACGUGCUAAUUAAGGUAUGUGAUUUGUGGAUUAUUGUGAUGGGAGUGAGAAAAUGGUUGAUGAUGUUUACAAUUUUGUAGGAUAAAGGUUUUAUAGUGAGAUUAAUUGAAGAUGAAAUUGACCCUUCAUACCAAUGGGGAGUCAUUCAUACUUUCAUUCAUUCCAUAAUUUGGCAGCCAUGUUGACAUGUAUGUUUUUGCUAAUAGUAAAGUACUAUACCGGGGGCCUAAAAAC
This 1185-nucleotide long non-coding RNA is filed under the name Medicago truncatula (barrel medic). RNAcentral's name for it is "long non-coding RNA (MTRU_LNC001976)". Lineage: Eukaryota; Viridiplantae; Streptophyta; Magnoliopsida; Fabales; Fabaceae. The record is from RNAcentral.